Molecule: transfer RNA, 77 nt
Filed under: Candidatus Onthoplasma faecipullorum
Lineage: Bacteria; Bacillati; Bacillota; Clostridia; Christensenellales; Christensenellaceae
Description: tRNA-Arg
Rfam family: tRNA
About the family: Transfer RNA (tRNA) molecules are approximately 80 nucleotides in length. Their secondary structure includes four short double-helical elements and three loops (D, anti-codon, and T loops). Further hydrogen bonds mediate the characteristic L-shaped molecular structure. tRNAs have two regions of fundamental functional importance: the anti-codon, which is responsible for specific mRNA codon recognition, and the 3' end, to which the tRNAs corresponding amino acid is attached (by aminoacyl-tRNA synthetases). tRNAs cope with the degeneracy of the genetic code in two manners: having more than one tRNA (with a specific anti-codon) for a particular amino acid; and 'wobble' base-pairing, i.e. permitting non-standard base-pairing at the 3rd anti-codon position.
Source: RNAcentral
GCGUCAAUAGCUCAGUUGGAUAGAGCAUCGCCCUUCUAAGGCGGGGGUCGGGGGUUCGAAUCCCUCUUGACGCACCA